Molecule: ribosomal RNA, 481 nt
Filed under: uncultured bacterium
Lineage: Bacteria
Description: partial 16S ribosomal RNA
Rfam family: Bacterial small subunit ribosomal RNA
Source: RNAcentral
GACGAACGCUGGCGGCGUGCUUAACACAUGCAAGUCGAACGGUGAAGGGGAGCUUGCUCCCCGGAUCAGUGGCGAACGGGUGAGUAACACGUGGGCAACCUGCCCCAGACUUCGGGAUAACGCUUCGAAAGAGGUGCUAAUACCGGAUACGAACUCCUUGGGCAUCCUGGGAGUUGGAAAGUUUUUCGGUCUGGGAUGGGCCCGCGGCCUAUCAGCUUGUUGGUGAGGUAACGGCUCACCAAGGCGACGACGGGUAGCCGGCCUGAGAGGGCGACCGGAGCGACUGGGACUGAGAGGCGGACCAGGCGCCUACGGGAGGCAGCAGUGGGGAAGAUUGCGCAAUGGGCGAAAGCCUGACGCAGCAACGCCGCGUGAGGGAUGACGGCCUUCGGGUUGUAAACCUCUUUCAGCAGGGAAGAAGCGAAAGUGACGGUACCUGCAGAAGAAGCACCGGCUAACUACGUGCCAGCAGCCGCGGUAA